AGAGUUUGAUCAUGGCUCAGAUUGAACGCUGGCGGCAGGCCUAACACAUGCAAGUCGAACGGUAACAGAAAGCAGCUUGCUGCUUUGCUGACGAGUGGCGGACGGGUGAGUAAUGUCUGGGAAACUGCCUGAUGGAGGGGGAUAACUACUGGAAACGGUAGCUAAUACCGCAUAAUGUCGCAAGACCAAAGAGGGGGACCUUCGGGCCUCUUGCCAUCGGAUGUGCCCAGAUGGGAUUAGCUUGUUGGUGGGGUAACGGCUCACCAAGGCGACGAUCCCUAGCUGGUCUGAGAGGAUGACCAGCCACACUGGAACUGAGACACGGUCCAGACUCCUACGGGAGGCAGCAGUGGGGAAUAUUGCACAAUGGGCGCAAGCCUGAUGCAGCCAUGCCGCGUGUAUGAAGAAGGCCUUCGGGUUGUAAAGUACUUUCAGCGGGGAGGAAGGGAGUAAAGUUAAUACCUUUGCUCAUUGACGUUACCCGCAGAAGAAGCACCGGCUAACUCCGUGCCAGCAGCCGCGGUAAUACGGAGGGUGCAAGCGUUAAUCGGAAUUACUGGGCGUAAAGCGCACGCAGGCGGUUUGUUAAGUCAGAUGUGAAAUCCCCGGGCUCAACCUGGGAACUGCAUCUGAUACUGGCAAGCUUGAGUCUCGUAGAGGGGGGUAGAAUUCCAGGUGUAGCGGUGAAAUGCGUAGAGAUCUGGAGGAAUACCGGUGGCGAAGGCGGCCCCCUGGACGAAGACUGACGCUCAGGUGCGAAAGCGUGGGGAGCAAACAGGAUUAGAUACCCUGGUAGUCCACGCCGUAAACGAUGUCGACUUGGAGGUUGUGCCCUUGAGGCGUGGCUUCCGGAGCUAACGCGUUAAGUCGACCGCCUGGGGAGUACGGCCGCAAGGUUAAAACUCAAAUGAAUUGACGGGGGCCCGCACAAGCGGUGGAGCAUGUGGUUUAAUUCGAUGCAACGCGAAGAACCUUACCUGGUCUUGACAUCCACGGAAGUUUUCAGAGAUGAGAAUGUGCCUUCGGGAACCGUGAGACAGGUGCUGCAUGGCUGUCGUCAGCUCGUGUUGUGAAAUGUUGGGUUAAGUCCCGCAACGAGCGCAACCCUUAUCCUUUGUUGCCAGCGGUCCGGCCGGGAACUCAAAGAAGACUGCCAGUGAUAAACUGGAGGAAGGUGGGGAUGACGUCAAGUCAUCAUGGCCCUUACGACCAGGGCUACACACGUGCUACAAUGGCGCAUACAAAGAGAAGCGACCUCGCGAGAGCAAGCGGACCUCAUAAAGUGCGUCGUAGUCCGGAUUGGAGUCUGCAACUCGACUCCAUGAAGUCGGAAUCGCUAGUAAUCGUGGAUCAGAAUGCCACGGUGAAUACGUUCCCGGGCCUUGUACACACCGCCCGUCACACCAUGGGAGUGGGUUGCAAAAGAAGUAGGUAGCUUAACCUUCGGGAGGGCGCUUACCACUUUGUGAUUCAUGACUGGGGUGAAGUCGUAACAAGGUAACCGUAGGGGAACCUGCGGUUG
RNAcentral lists this ribosomal RNA (1522 nucleotides) under Shigella dysenteriae. RNAcentral describes it as "bacterial SSU rRNA". It matches the Rfam family "Bacterial small subunit ribosomal RNA". Lineage: Bacteria; Pseudomonadati; Pseudomonadota; Gammaproteobacteria; Enterobacterales; Enterobacteriaceae. The record is from RNAcentral.